AAGCCAAAAGUGAAACAUCUGAGUAAGGAUUUGGUCAGCCUGUUUUUUACAGUUAAAUCCCAUUUUACAUGUUAAGACCACUUCCAAAGCACUUUUAAAGUAAUGUCCACAUGGUGGUGCUGAUACAGUCUGGAAUACAUUGGGUGUGGGAAUGAGUUGACCCCUCCUUCCCACUGUGGGGAAUUGUCAAAUGAGGGUGAACCACAAAGUGGAAGUAUUUUCUUAGCUCGUGAGAUUUGCCACGAGGACGGGACUAUAGGGAGAUUGGACUCAAAUUGAGAAAGGCCCUAACAUGGCAUUGGUCUUCAGCUUGUCCACUCAUGUUUCUCCUCAUCACUGGGAUGGAGACAUCCAAAAGUCUAAACCAGCGCUCAGAGUUGAAGCAGGUCAUCCAGGUGGAAUCUGGGAAGGAUGCAGUCCUAGACUGCUCUGUGAAGUUCAGUGAGGAAUCCCCUGGAUGCUGCUGAGCCCAAAAUAUCAGCUUUCCAUGCCACCUGCCAAUGAGAGACAAAGUUGUGUCCCUGUUGGUUAAAGAAACCCAGCCUGAAGAAGAGGGUCCGUAUGAGUGUGUGGUGAACACUGACAGUGGAAACACAAAUUGUAACUUCAUGCUGAAGGUCACAGUAUGAGACCAGCACCAGGUUCCUGAGAAUGCUGCAAAUCAAAAGGAAAUUCCAAAGAACAGUUACAAGAAUGUGACUGCUGUAUUUGUGGUAGUAGGCUCUCUUGCCAUUGGACUGCUGCUUCUCAAGCUGUUUCAAGCCAGAAGACUCAGACAACAUGAGCACCCAGGGUCAUGUCCAUUAGGACACACUGUUGCAAAAUGCUUCAAGAAGUUAUUCAGAUAGUUCCUCCCCAUUUCAGACUGCUUCUUUCCAUUUCGUGCCUAGUGAACACGACCUUGCAUUUGACAAUCUCUGCCGAGAGGAAUGCAGAGGUCUGGGAAGAUUAGGAGAGUACUUUCUGUUCUGGCUAAAUGCCAGGAUGUUGCUAUAUAAGUGGAAUGGAGAACUAACUCCUCGACAAGAUCACUUAGUUUAGUUUUUAUUGUUUUAGUUUCUCUAUUGCUCUCCUUCUCCUCCCCAGAUGGGAAUUCAGGAUUUGUUAUUCAAUUGUCUCUGUAACAAAUCACAAAACAUGGUAGAGCACACAGUAUCAACCCCUGUAAAAGGUUGCUUCUGGUUUCUCUUUCCAGAUGAACCAGUGGCACAGGAAGACUCUUUUGUGGCAGAAUGUUUGAGUAUAUUAUUUUUGUCUACCUAAUCGAAGAGGGAUUCCUGUCAAAACGAUCAAAUUCAUAGUAAAAUGCAGUGUAUAAAAUGUGUGUGGUAAAAUGGUGUAUAACAGUGUUGGUAUUCCUAUUGUCCCCUAUGGAACCAGAGCCUGAGGAUACAGCAGUCCCAGCAGAGCACGACUCCAGCACCAGGACAGGACUGUUUCCGUAGCGACAGAUGUAUUAUCCGGAGUGUUAUGGGCUCUCUUCCCUGUCGGUGUCAUGUCUGCUCUGUCUCUCACGCCACACAGCUAACUGAAUGUUAAUGCUUUGCCUGGAAGAGAGAACAAUCUGGUUCAACACUAUUGUGUUCCCCCUCUGCAGGAGAAAUGGAGUGCAUGCAUUAUCCUGCUACCAAGCUAAGUGUUAACAGCAUUGUCUGUAGUUGUUAACCACACCAGACUAUUCUUUCAUAUAUUGUGACUAAAACCUGAUGUUAGAGUUCAGUGUGUCAUCGGGAUCUCUGUUGAAAAGUUUGUUUCUGUUGGAGAGUCUGUCCUCUCUGUCUCUGUCCUCUCUGUCUCUCUCUCUGUUGUGGUUAGAAUGGAUAGUUCAGAGUAACAUUCAUUCAUGACGUUAUAGAUUAGCUGUUUUGGCGGUUGUCGGUCUUCGCGUUCAAUGAUACCGAAUUCCUAGCUGCAGACUAGUAAUUAAUAUCAAAGACUUGUUCUUAUUCUGUCGGUAUCGAUAGUCUAAGAGUUUAACCACAUGGUAUGGUUAAAAGUUCAGCAAGAGAAAUGCAUGGUCUGCAACCUUUAGCCAUCUCGUAAUUGAGGUAAGCUUGGCCUCCUCUCAAACCUUGCCCCUCAUUAUCAAGGUAAGCUGGUCUCGUCUCAAACCUUAGCCCUCUCGUUAUCGAGGUAAGCUGGUCUGGUGAUAGAAAACCUAGGUGGGGAUUUUAUUUAGAAGAGCAGAAAAGGGCCAGUCCCAUGACACCAGACCAUAACUGUGCUCAUGGGUGGUCCUCUGAUUAGUUAAACUCCAAAAGGGAAUUGGAGUUUCCUUCAUUAAACAGUCCAAAAUCACAUUACACAAUUUCACAAACAGUUCCAUCCUCACUCAUUCAUUUUAUACAACAAUUAGAUGUAAGCCUCAUAACUGAGGCUAUUAUAUAAACAGCGUUAUGGUAAUGUGGCCGUAUUGUCUCUCAUGAGUUUCACAAAAUUGUACCAAACGGACCAGUUCGUAGCUGGAUUCUUCACCAAUCUUUUAUACAUUCUCCAGAACAUAAAUAUUGUUCGGACCUCCAGUUCUGUGAGGUGGAAGAAAUUCCUUUGUUCUCUCUAUAAAAACUCACUCUCUAUACUGUGGCCAUGAGGAGAUAGUCUCCUCCAGGAAUUUACGACCUCUCUGAACACAGCAGCCUGGGUGUAGGAGACAGAGGGAGAUGGUGCUCGCUGUGUCCAAAGAGGGCAAUGUCAUGACACCUGAAAGGCCGCUCAGCAAGGAAGAAGCCACUGCUCCAAAACUGCUAUUAAAACUACGAUUUGCAACUGCACAUGUGGACAAAUAUCGUACUUUUUGGAGAAAUGUCCUCUAGUCUGAUGAAACAGAAAUAGAACUCUUUGGCAUUAAUGACCAUCGUUAUGUUAGGAGGAAAAAGGGAGGCUUGCAAGCGGUGCCCUGAGGCUAUUAUAUAAACAGCGUUAUGGUAAUGUGGCCGUAUUGUCUCUCAUGAGUUUCACAAAAUUGCCGCACAUUUACUGUACCGGUUCCCCCUGUAUAUAGCCUCGCUAUUGUUAUUUUACUGCUGCUGUUUGUUACUUUUAUCUAUGUUAACACGUUUUUCUUCUUAACUUCUUAAAGCAAUGUUGGUUAAGGGCUUGUAAGUAAGCAUUUCAUUGUAAGGUCUACACCUGUUGUAUUCAGCGCAUGUGACAAAUACAAUUUUGAUUUGACAACAGGGGUGGCCUAUGUUAAAAAUGUUUUAAAAAGUACAAAGCCUUUGUAAGGUGUUAAGCCUGUGAUAAAAUAUGCUUAAAAUCAUUAAAAGACAAAGUGAUUGUGUUGAAUUGUGUUUGGAAAAUAAAGAUAGACAUUGUUUUAUAAAGGUAGUGAUAAUAUUUCAUUCAGUACAGAAAUGUGUAGAAAGCUUAACUUCCACUGUCUGGAGGAUCAGCUUACCACAUACCCAGGUUAAGUUUACUGCCAUCCUCAUUUACUGCCUUUUAAAAAAAACAUAGCUGAUAUAGAAUACUUGAAUCAUUCACCUCUCAUGUCUGGGACUAGAGAAUAUGUUAUGUAGUGAACCAUUCACCUCUCAUGUCUGGGACUAGAGGAUAUGUUAUGUAGUGAACCAUUCACCUCUCAUGUCUGGGACUAGAGGAUAUGUUAUGUAGUGAAC
This 3617-nucleotide long non-coding RNA is filed under the name Salmo salar (Atlantic salmon). RNAcentral's name for it is "lncRNA (ENSSSAG00000094236.1)". Lineage: Eukaryota; Metazoa; Chordata; Actinopteri; Salmoniformes; Salmonidae. The record is from RNAcentral.